UACGAAGGGGGCUAGCGUUGCUCGGAAUUACUGGGCGUAAAGGGCGCGUAGGCGGCACUGUUAGUCAGGCGUGAAAUUCCUGGGCUCAACCUGGGGACUGCGCUUGAUACGGCAGAGCUAGAGGAUGGAAGAGGCUCGCGGAAUUCCCAGUGUAGAGGUGAAAUUCGUAGAUAUCGGGAGGAACACCAGUGGCGAAGGCGGUUGCCUGGGGCUGUGCUGACGCUGAUGCGCGAAAGCGUGGGGAGCGAUCCGG
RNAcentral lists this ribosomal RNA (253 nucleotides) under uncultured bacterium. Its description in RNAcentral is "partial 16S ribosomal RNA". It matches the Rfam family "Bacterial small subunit ribosomal RNA", at positions 524 to 776 of the family's 1533-position model. The record is from RNAcentral.